Molecule: small nuclear RNA, 104 nt
Organism: Cervus hanglu yarkandensis (Yarkand deer)
Lineage: Eukaryota; Metazoa; Chordata; Mammalia; Artiodactyla; Cervidae
Source: Ensembl
GAGCUCACUUAGGCAGCACAUAUACUAAAAUUCAGAUGAAGCAGAGAUGAGCAUGGCCCCUGCACAAGGAUGACACGCAAAUUUGUGAAGCAUUCCAUAUUAAA